Molecule: microRNA precursor, 241 nt
Filed under: Oryza sativa Indica Group (long-grained rice)
Lineage: Eukaryota; Viridiplantae; Streptophyta; Magnoliopsida; Poales; Poaceae
Description: osa-MIR806e
Rfam family: MIR812 microRNA precursor family (bases 21-225)
Source: RNAcentral
UAAUACUCCCUCCAUUUCGAAAUGUUUGACGCCGUUGACUUUUUAGCAUAUGUUUGACCGUUCGUCUUAUUCAAAAAAUUUAAGUAAUUAUUAAUUCUUUUCCUAUCAUUUAAUUCAUUGUUAAAUAUAUUUUUAUGUAGGCAUAUAAUUUUACAUAUUUCACAAAAGUUUUUGAAUAAGACGAACGGUCAAACAUGUGCUAAAAAGUCAACGGUGUCAAAUAUUUCGAAACGGAGGGAGU